This 492-nucleotide ribosomal RNA is filed under the name uncultured bacterium. Its description in RNAcentral is "partial 16S ribosomal RNA". It matches the Rfam family "Bacterial small subunit ribosomal RNA", at positions 29 to 507 of the family's 1533-position model. The record is from RNAcentral.
AGUGAACGCUGGCGGUAGGCCUAACACAUGCAAGUCGAACGGCAGCACAGUAAGAGCUUGCUCUUACGGGUGGCGAGUGGCGGACGGGUGAGGUAUACAUCGGAAUCUACUUUUUCGUGGGGGAUAACGUAGGGAAACUUACGCUAAUACCGCAUACGACCUACGGGUGAAAGCAGGGGAUCUUCUGACCUUGCGCGAUUGAAUGAGCCGAUGUCGGAUUAGCUAGUUGGCGGGGUAAAGGCCCACCAAGGCGACGAUCCGUAGCUGGUCUGAGAGGAUGAUCAGCAACACUGGAACUGAGACACGGUACAGACUCCUACGGGAGGCAGCAGAGGGGAAUAUUGGACAAUGGGCGAAAGCAUGAUCCAGCAAUACCGCGUGGGUGAAGAAGGCCUUCGGGUUGUAAAGCCCUUUUGUUGGGAAAGAAAAGAAGCAGGUUAAUAACCCGCUGUUCUGACGGUACCCAAAGAAUAAGCACCGGCUAACUUCGUG